Molecule: ribosomal RNA, 253 nt
Filed under: uncultured bacterium
Lineage: Bacteria
Description: partial 16S ribosomal RNA
Rfam family: Bacterial small subunit ribosomal RNA
Source: RNAcentral
UACGUAGGCAGCGAGCGUUGUUCGGAAUUACUGGGCGUAAAGCGCGCGUAGGCGGAUCUGCAAGUCGGGGGUGAAAUCCCGAGGCUCAACCUCGGAACUGCCUUCGAUACUGCGGGUCUCGAGUCCGGGAGAGGUGAGUGGAAUUCCUAGUGUAGAGGUGAAAUUCGUAGAUAUUAGGAAGAACACCAGUGGCGAAGGCGGCUCACUGGCCCGGUACUGACGCUGAGGCGCGAAAGCGUGGGGAGUAAACAGG